UACGUAGGGGGCUAGCGUUGUCCGGAAUCAUUGGGCGUAAAGAGCGCGUAGGCGGUCUCGCAAGUCGGAUGUGAAAGCCCAGGGCUCAACCCUGGAAGUGCACUCGAUACUGCGAGGCUAGAGUCCCGGAGAGGAUGGUGGAACUCUCGGUGUAGAGGUGAAAUUCGUAGAUAUCGAGAAGAACACCGGUGGCGAAGGCGGCCAUCUGGACGGUGACUGACGCUGAGA
This 228-nucleotide ribosomal RNA is filed under the name uncultured bacterium. RNAcentral describes it as "partial 16S ribosomal RNA". It matches the Rfam family "Bacterial small subunit ribosomal RNA", at positions 524 to 751 of the family's 1533-position model. The record is from RNAcentral.